GACGAACGCUGGCGGCGUGCCUAAUACAUGCAAGUCGAACGCUUCUUUCCUCCCGAGUGCUUACACCCAAUUGGAAAGAGGAGUGGCGGACGGGUGAGUAACACGUGGGUAACCUACCCAUCAGAGGGGGAUAACACUUGGAAACAGGUGCUAAUACCGCAUAACAGUUUAUGCCGCAUGGCAUAAGAGUGAAAGGCGCUUUCGGGUGUCGCUGAUGGAUGGACCCGCGGUGCAUUAGCUAGUUGGUGAGGUAACGGCUCACCAAGGCCACGAUGCAUAGCCGACCUGAGAGGGUGAUCGGCCACACUGGGACUGAGACACGGCCCAGACUCCUACGGGAGGCAGCAGUAGGGAAUCUUCGGCAAUGGACGAAAGUCUGACCGAGCAACGCCGCGUGAGUGAAGAAGGUUUUCGGAUCGUAAAACUCUGUUGUUAGAGAAGAACAAGGACGUUAGUAACUGAACGUCCCCUGACGGUAUCUAACCAGAAAGCCACGGCUAACUACGUG
RNAcentral lists this ribosomal RNA (508 nucleotides) under uncultured bacterium. RNAcentral describes it as "partial 16S ribosomal RNA". It matches the Rfam family "Bacterial small subunit ribosomal RNA", at positions 28 to 507 of the family's 1533-position model. The record is from RNAcentral.